RNAcentral lists this ribosomal RNA (440 nucleotides) under uncultured bacterium. RNAcentral describes it as "partial 16S ribosomal RNA". It matches the Rfam family "Bacterial small subunit ribosomal RNA", at positions 338 to 795 of the family's 1533-position model. The record is from RNAcentral.
CCUACGGGUGGCAGCAGUGGGGAAUAUUGCACAAUGGGGGAAACCCUGAUGCAGCGACGCCGCGUGAAGGAUGAAGUAUUUCGGUAUGUAAACUUCUAUCAGUAGGGAAGAAAAUGACGGUAUUUGUCUAAGAAGCCCUGGCCAAGUACGUGCCAGCAGCCGCGGUAAUACGGAGGGGGCAAGCGUUAUCCGGAAUUACUGGGUGUAAAGGGAACGUAGGUGGCUGGGCAAGUCUGAUGUGAAAGCCCGGGGCUCAACCCCGGGACGGCAUUUGAAACUGGCAGGCUAGAGUGUCGGAGAGGGGAGUAGAAUUCCAGGUGUAGCGGUGAAAUGCGUAGAUAUUAGGAGGAACACCAGUGGCGAAGGCGGCUUGCUGGACAAUGACUGACGUUGAGGCGCGAAAGCGUGGGGAGCAAACAGGAUUAGAUACCCGAGUAGUC